Molecule: long non-coding RNA, 1522 nt
Organism: Rosa rugosa (rugosa rose)
Lineage: Eukaryota; Viridiplantae; Streptophyta; Magnoliopsida; Rosales; Rosaceae
Exons: 3
Source: RefSeq, a predicted model, not a curated record
UCAAAUUAACGUCCGAUGUCAUUUUGGAAAUGAUUUCGUAGGCGUGGGCACGAAUACGAAGCUUGAAGGAGUUGUGGAAUUAGUUCGAACGAUUUUAUUUCGAAAACGAACGUUAUUUAGGGGGUCUUAAAAAGUGACUUCUUAUACGUACAGAAUUUGGGAAAACUUUCUUCAUGAAAGUUGUAGAGCUCGUCGAUACGAUCUCGUGCGUAUGUUGAACGCAAUAUUCGGAGUUUGUAUGAAUAAGUUAUGAAUAUUUGAAAAUCGGGAUUUUUUUUCUAUAAAUAUGGAGAAUUUCUGGAAUUUUUCUUAAAUCCCAAAAUUUCCUAUUCUUUCUAUUUUCUCCCCCGGUUUUCUCUCUUCUCUCUCCUCUCCCCCGACCUUUUUCUCUUCUUUCUGGGCGUUCUUCCUCUGCCAGCAGCGCCACCGUCCGGCCACCUCAAGCCGCUCUCGAGGUGUCCACGGCUUCGCCUCGACGUCGUCUAGCUACUGGACGUGACCACUUUCCCCGGAACGGCCUCAAAUCCGGCAAACCGGAGCUGCAAGGUUUGAGCCAAAAACAGUCAACGCCGGUUUUCUCCUAAUUCCGGCCACCAAAACUCACGAUCCUUAGCUCCCUGAACUCACCUCAACAUGCUGAUCAUCAUCCUAGAAGGAUCGCACCUGGAGUGACCGGAUUCACGUUCGUCGGAGCUCGGCCGGCUUUAAUUCGAAAACCACCUUCGAAUCCGAUUUUCUCGAGUUAUAGACCACCUUUUCUUGUGAUUCUUGGCCUGGUGAGUUCACCUUGAGAUUAUUAACAACUCUCAAGAAGGGAUCGAGGCCUGAGGUUGAAGUUUUUACGUCGGAAUUCAAGCUCGCCGGAUUCUGGAAAAUUUCCGACCACGAAGACUUUCGAUCAAGAUAUCGCGAGCUGUAGUGCAUCGUUUUGAUUGAUUCUUUUUCCAGUGGGUUCCCCUUGAUGUUGUUAACAACUCUCUAGAAGGCAUCGAGGCCUGAAAUUGAAUCUUUGACGUCGAAAUCGAGCCUUGCCGGAUUCUGCAAAAUUCUGGAAUUUUUCCGACCACCGAAGCUUUCGAUCGGUAUAUCUCGAGCUACAGACCAUAUUUUUCUGUGAUUCUUGAACCAGUGAGUUCUUCUUGAGUUUCUUAACAACUCUUCAGAAGGAAUCGAAGCCUUAAAUUGACGUUUUUACGUCGAAUUGGAGCUCGCCGUUUUCUGCAGUUUCUCGCCGGUUUCUGGAAAAUUCCGGCCACCUUCAUACUGUUCAAGGUGAUUGACGGUUUGAGUUGGCGGACGAUUGUGAAUCGUAUUUUGAGCUGUUAAGAAGACGCAGCGGGAUUAGAGCGGGUAAUCCUACAGGUCAGGAGAACCAGGACGGUGAUCGGGCUGCUUAGAGUAGUGUUAUGUGAAUUACAGCAUUAUAUUGUGAGGUUUGUUAUGCUCAUUUAGAGCUUUACGAUUUUACUUUGUAAGAGUGAAUUGUAAUAAUUAACUCGAGGUUUUUCGAGUUUUGUGUUGA